GCAUAUCAAUAAGCGGAGGAAAAGAAACCAACAGGGAUUGCCCCAGUAACGGCGAAGUGAAGCGGCAACAGCUCAAAUUUGAAAUCUGGCCCCCAGGGUCCGAGUUGUAAUUUGUAGAGGAUGCUUUUGGCGCGGUGCCUUCCGAGUUCCCUGGAACGGGACGCCAUAGAGGGUGAGAGCCCCGUCUGGUUGGACACCUAGCCUCUGUAAAGCUCCUUCGACGAGUCGAGUAGUUUGGGAAUGCUGCUCUAAAUGGGAGGUAUAUGUCUUCUAAAGCUAAAUACCGGCCAGAGACCGAUAGCGCACAAGUAGAGUGAUCGAAAGAUGAAAAGCACUUUGAAAAGAGGGUUAAAUAGUACGUGAAAUUGUUGAAAGGGAAGCGUUUGUGACCAGACUUGGGCUCGGUUAAUCAUCCAGCGUUCUCGCUGGUGCACUUUGCCGGCCCAGGCCAGCAUCAGUUCGCGCCGGGGGACAAAGGCUUCGGGAACGUGGCUCCCUCGGGAGUGUUAUAGCCCGCUGCGUAAUACCCUGGUGCGGACUGAGGUUCGCGCUCCGCAAGGAUGCUGGCGUAAUGGUCAUCAGCGACCCGUCUUGAAACACGGACCAAGGAGUCGUCUUCGUAUGCGAGUGUUCGGGUGUCAAACCCCUACGCGUAAUGAAAGUGAACGCAGGUGAGAGCUUCGGCGCAUCAUCGACCGAUCCUGAUGUUCUCGGAUGGAUUUGAGUAAGAGCAUACGGGGCCGGACCCGAAAGAAGGUGAACUAUGCCUGUAUAGGGUGAAGCCAGAGGAAACUCUGGUGGAGGCUCGCAGCGGUUCUGACGUGCAAAUCGAUCGUCAAAUAUGGGGCAUGGGGGGCGAAAGACUAAUCGAACCUUCUAGUAGCUGGGUUUCCGCGA
Molecule: ribosomal RNA, 897 nt
Filed under: Niesslia pulchriseta
Lineage: Eukaryota; Fungi; Ascomycota; Sordariomycetes; Hypocreales; Niessliaceae
Description: LSU rRNA
Rfam family: Eukaryotic large subunit ribosomal RNA
Source: RNAcentral